UCAGCACUAAUAUUUCCCCCCACCUUUCUUUUUCCCUCUUCCCUCUUUUUUUUUCUUUUUCCCACUUCUCUUUUCCUGUCCGUGUCCUUCGACCUCCCUCUCUCUCUCUGACCCGCCCUCUCUCCUCUCCUCUCUAUGCGACUCACUUUCUCUCCUCUCUUCAUUUUUCAUCUACACUACUAACUCUUUCACCUGUUCCAUUUCUCUCUCUAUCCCUUUUCAGAUUCAUAUAUACACAUAUAAUCCUGAUAUAUAAAUAUAUAUAUGGAUAGAAGUAACCAGAUGCGCAAGUAGAUUGCCGUAAUGAGGCAGUCUCUCUUUGAUCAGAUGAACAAUUUAUCAAGUUGGAGGAUCUGCAAGAUGAUGCUAAUCCUAAUUUUGUAGAGGAAGUGGCUACCGAGAUUCAUCUAGACUCAUCUAUAACAUGGACCAAGCACUCUACGAAGAAAAAACCAGUUUUGAUUUUAAGUUUAUAGAACAACCCUUUAGGUCCUUGAAGUGGAAAUAUGGCUUCUUUAAUUGAUAUAGCAGUUGGAGCAGCCAUAAAUAUACUCAGUGCAUUUUUUUUCUCCCUGAUAUUCACCAUACUCCGGAUUCAACCGAUCAAUCAUAUGGUCUACUAUCCAAAGUGGUAUCUUAAAGGGUUAAGGAAUAGUCUGCUGCGCGCGGGUGCAUUCAUAAGCAAGUUUGUUAAUUCAUUACUAAAAUAAUCCCCAAGGAAAGGGUAUUUGGUGCUAACUAUUAUAUUAACUUGUUUAUGACAUAGUACACUUACAUAUAUUGCACUUAUGAUAUUGUUGGAUACUUGGCUUUUGAUUUUGUUAUGUAUUAUUUAGAUUCAGGGUAUAUACAUACAUAGAUUCUUUGGUUGGUGGCUUUUGGUACCCUGUAUAUAAUUUUAUAUUUGGUAUUCUAUGGCAUAUUUGUGUUGUGUCUACUUUGUUAGUGCUGAAGACUUUGUUUAUUAUCAUGUUAUGUUAAUCAACUUUAGGGUAUAUUUGUGUUUUGAUGUCAGUGCUUAAUUUUUUUUUAGAUUGGUUGAUUUUAGAAUAUAUUAUGUAUAUAUAUUUUUUGUUGGAUACUUUGCCUUUGAUUUUGUUAUGUUUAUUCAAAUUUAGAGUAUAUAUGUGUACUAUUGUAAUUAAGUUAUUUUUUUGUGAUUCAUUUUUACAUUCAUUGAUUUUGGUAUUAUUAUUGUUGAUUAUAUUUAUGUUAUUCAUUUUUUUUUCAAUGAUAUUAAAAUAAUGAGUAUGUUUAUUAUGUUGAUGAUUAUAGGAGUUAUUGUGUUCUUAUAUUUUUAAAGGCAUACAAAGUGUCAUAAAUGCUCAUAAUAAGUCAUUCUUUUUUCUUUCUGAAAUCCUUAUUAUGAUUAAAUUGGAGAUAUUCAAUUAUUAAAUUGGAAAUUUUGUUAUACUGUAAUUUACAACAUCAUUGGUCUCCCAACCGUCUCAAACCUUGUCGGCAUUCUUACAAGGUCAGCUUUUGUUUAAUAAUCUCUAAGAGGAAUUAAUCAACUAAUUUUACAUAUUUUUAUUGUCAUUCAUUAAUAUAUUAUGGUAAAAUAUACUAUUUAAUUAUAAUUUGAAGUUUUUAAUUCAUUUGUGCAGGGAAUAUCAUAGGAUUGACUAAAGGUGGAUGCCUAGAUUUAUUAGGAAGAAUAUUGAGAAAAGAAACAUGAUUGAGUUUGCAGUGAUUUGGAGAAGAGAAUUAUGUUGUCUUGUUGAGAUUUGUUAUAUUAUUUAUUUUGAAGUUUAUAGAUUUAUAAUAUUAUAACGAAUUUUUAUUGAGAAUUAUUUUGUCUCAUGGUGAUUUGAUGUAUUAUUUACAUUUCAAUUGUAUGAAUAAA
Humulus lupulus (European hop) is the source of this 1846-nucleotide long non-coding RNA. RefSeq lists it as uncharacterized. The record is from RefSeq and is a predicted model, not a curated record. The transcript has 4 exons. NCBI's taxonomy places the organism in Eukaryota, Viridiplantae, Streptophyta, Magnoliopsida, Rosales, Cannabaceae.